Molecule: ribosomal RNA, 253 nt
Filed under: uncultured bacterium
Lineage: Bacteria
Description: partial 16S ribosomal RNA
Rfam family: Bacterial small subunit ribosomal RNA
Source: RNAcentral
UACGUAGGGAGCGAGCGUUAAUCGGAAAUACUGGGCGUAAAGCGUGCGCAGGCGGCUUUGCAAGACAGAUGUGAAAUCCCCGGGCUCAACCUGGGAACUGCAUUUGUGACUGCAAGGCUAGAGUACGGCAGAGGGGGAUGGAAUUCCGCGUGUAGCAGUGAAAUGCGUAGAUAUGCGGAGGAACACCAAUGGCGAAGGCAAUCCCCUGGGCCUGUACUGACGCUCAUGCACGAAAGCGUGGGGAGCAAACAGG